GGCUUAGUUUGAUCAUGGCUCAGGAUAAACGCUGGCGGCGCACAUAAGACAUGCAAGUCGAACGGACUUAACCAUUAGUUUACUAUUGGAGCGGUUAGUGGCGGACUGGUGAGUAACACGUAAGCAACCUGCCUGUUAGAGGGGAACAACAGUUAGAAAUGACUGCUAAUACCGCAUAUGCCUUGAGUAUCGCAUGGUACAAGAGGGAAAGGAGCAAUCCGCUAACAGAUGGGCUUGCGUCUGAUUAGCUAGUUGGUGGGGUAACGGCCUACCAAGGCGACGAUCAGUAGCCGGACUGAGAGGUUGAACGGCCACGUUGGGACUGAGAUACGGCCCAGACUCCUACGGGAGGCAGCAGUCGGGAAUAUUGCGCAAUGGAGGAAACUCUGACGCAGUGACGCCGCGUGCAGGAAGAAGGUUUUCGGAUUGUAAACUGCUUUAGACAGGGAAGAAAGAAAAGACAGUACCUGUAGAAUAAGCUCCGGCUAACUACGUGCCAGCAGCCGCGGUAAUACGUAGGGAGCAAGCGUUAUCCGGAUUUAUUGGGUGUAAAGGGUGCGUAGACGGGAAGUCAAGUUAGUUGUGAAAUCCCUCGGCUCAACUGAGGAACUGCAACUAAAACUAACUUUCUUGAGUGCUGGAGAGGAAAGUGGAAUUCCUAGUGUAGCGGUGAAAUGCGUAGAUAUUAGGAGGAACACCAGUGGCGAAGGCGACUUUCUGGACAGUAACUGACGUUGAGGCACGAAAGUGUGGGGAGCAAACAGGAUUAGAUACCCUGGUAGUCCACACCGUAAACGAUGGAUACUAGGUGUAGGGGAUGAAUAAUCCUCUGUGCCGUCGCNAACGCAGUAAGUAUCCCACCUGGGGAGUACGGCCGC
Molecule: ribosomal RNA, 878 nt
Filed under: uncultured bacterium
Lineage: Bacteria
Description: bacterial SSU rRNA
Rfam family: Bacterial small subunit ribosomal RNA
Source: RNAcentral